CACACAGGUAUAUAAGCACACAGGUCACACAGGUAUAUAAGCACACCGGUCACACAGGUAUAUAAGCACACACGUCACACAGGUAUAUAAGCACACCGGUCACACAGGUAUAUAAGCACACAGGUCACACAGGUAUAUAAGCACACCGGUCACACAGGUAUAUAAGCACACCGGUCACACAGGUAUAUAAGCACACAGGUCAC
Haliotis rufescens (red abalone) is the source of this 203-nucleotide long non-coding RNA. RefSeq lists it as uncharacterized. Lineage: Eukaryota; Metazoa; Mollusca; Gastropoda; Lepetellida; Haliotidae. The transcript is spliced from 3 exons. The record is from RefSeq and is a predicted model, not a curated record.